This 21-nucleotide non-coding RNA is filed under the name Caenorhabditis elegans. The record is from RNAcentral. Lineage: Eukaryota; Metazoa; Nematoda; Chromadorea; Rhabditida; Rhabditidae.
UGCAUCAUUUGAUCUAAGUCA